Molecule: ribosomal RNA, 225 nt
Filed under: uncultured bacterium
Lineage: Bacteria
Description: partial 16S ribosomal RNA
Rfam family: Bacterial small subunit ribosomal RNA
Source: RNAcentral
UACGGAGGGGGCUAGCGUUGUUCGGAAUUACUGGGCGUAAAGCGCGCGUAGGCGGACCUGCAAGUCGGGGGUGAAAGCCCGAGGCUCAACCUCGGAACUGCCUUCGAUACUGCGGGUCUCGAGUCCGGGAGAGGUGAGUGGAAUUCCUAGUGUAGAGGUGAAAUUCGUAGAUAUUAGGAAGAACACCAGUGGCGAAGGCGGCUCACUGGCCCCGGUGCGUGACGC